RNAcentral lists this ribosomal RNA (440 nucleotides) under uncultured bacterium. Its description in RNAcentral is "bacterial SSU rRNA". It matches the Rfam family "Bacterial small subunit ribosomal RNA", at positions 340 to 773 of the family's 1533-position model. The record is from RNAcentral.
UACGGGAGGCAGCAGUGGGGAAUAUUGCACAAUGGGCGCAAGCCUGAUGCAGCCAUGCCUCGUGUAUGAAAAAGGCCUUCGGGUUGUAAAGUACUUUCAGUCGUGAGGAAGGUGUUAAGGUUAAUAACCUUAGCAAUUGACGUUAGCGACAGAAGAAGCACCGGCUAACUCCGUGCCAGCAGCCGCGGUAAUACGGAGGGUGCGAGCGUUAAUCGGAAUUACUGGGCGUAAAGGGCACGCAGGCGGUUAAUUAAGUUGGAUGUGAAAUCCCCGGGCUUAACCUGGGAAUGGCAUUCAAGACUGGUUAGCUAGAGUCUUGUAGAGGGGGUAGAAUUCCAUGUGUAGCGGUGAAAUGCGUAGAGAUGUGGAGGAAUACCGGUGGCGAAGGCGGCCCCUGGGACAAAGACUGACGCUCAUGUGCGAAAGCGUGGGGAGCAAAC